Trichosurus vulpecula (common brushtail) is the source of this 105-nucleotide small nuclear RNA. The record is from RefSeq and is a predicted model, not a curated record. NCBI's taxonomy places the organism in Eukaryota, Metazoa, Chordata, Mammalia, Diprotodontia, Phalangeridae.
UUAUUCUAGUGUCAUAUAUUAACACAACAUGAAAUAAUACAUAGAAUAUUAGCAUGUUCGCUGUGUAAGUAUGACAUGCAAAUUAGUGAAGUGCUUCAGGUCUUU